Molecule: ribosomal RNA, 458 nt
Filed under: Chaetoceros curvisetus
Lineage: Eukaryota; Bacillariophyta; Thalassiosirophyceae; Chaetocerotales; Chaetocerotaceae
Description: partial Bacterial small subunit ribosomal RNA
Rfam family: Bacterial small subunit ribosomal RNA
Source: RNAcentral
GAGGAACCUUACCAAGACUUAAAUGGGAAUUGACAGCUUUAGAAAUAGAGCUUUCUUCGGACAAUUUUCAAGGUGCUGCAUGGUUGUCGUCAGCUCGUGCCGUGAGGUGUUAGGUUAAGUCCUGCAACGAGCGCAACCCCUGUCACUAGUUGCCAUCAUUCAGUUGGGGACUCUAGUGAGACUGCCUACGCAAGUAGAGAGGAAGGUGGGGAUGACGUCAAAUCAUCACGGCCCUUACGUCUUGGGCCACACACGUAAUACAAUGGCCGGUACAGAGGGCAGCUACACAGCGAUGUGAUGCAAAUCUCGAAAGCCGGUCUCAGUUCGGAUUGGAGUCUGCAACUCGACUCCAUGAAGUCGGAAUCGCUAGUAAUCGUAGAUCAGAAUGCUACGGUGAAUACGUUCCCGGGCCUUGUACACACCGCCCGUCAAGCCAUGAAAGCCGGGGGUACCUGAAG